UCAGCCAGCCGCGGUAAUACGUAGGGUAGCGAAGCGUUAUUCUGAAAUUAUUGGGCGUAGAAGAGCUCUUAGGCGGGUUUGUCGCGUCUAUUCGUGAAAGUCCGGGGCUUAACCCCGGAUCUGCGGUGGGUACGGGCAGACUAGAGUGCAGUAGGGGAGACUGGAAUUCCUGUGUAGCGGUGGAAUGCGCAGAUAUCAGGAGGAAACACCGAUGGCGAAAGCAGGUCUAUGGGCUGUAACUGACGCUGAGGAGCGAAAAGCAUGGGGAGCGAACAGGAUUAGAUACCCUGGUAGUCCAUGCCGUAAACGUUGGGCACUAGGUGUGGGGACCAUUCCACGGUUUCCGCGCCGCAGCUAACGCAUUAAGUGCCCCGCCUGGGGAGUACGGCCGCAAGGCUAAAACUCAAAGGAAUUGACGGGGGCCCGCACAAGCGGCGGAGCAUGCGGAUUAAUUCGAUGCAACGCGAAGAACCUUACCAAGGCUUGACAUGUUCUCGAUCGCCGUAGAGAUACGGUUUCCCCUUUGGGGCGGGUUCACAGGUGGUGCAUGGUUGUCGUCAGCUCGUGUCGUGAGAUGUUGGGUUAAGUCCCGCAACGAGCGCAACCCUCGUUCCAUGUUGCCAGCACGUAAUGGUGGGGACUCAUGGGAGACUGCCGGGGUCAACUCGGAGGAAGGUGAGGACGACGUCAAAUCAUCAUGCCCCUUAUGUCUUGGGCUUCACGCAUGCUACAAUGGCCGGUACAAUGGGUUGCGAUACUGUGAGGUGGAGCUAAUCCCAAAAAGCCGGUCUCAGUUCGGAUUGGGGUCUGCAACUCGACCCCAUGAAGUCGGAGUCGCUAGUAAUCGCAGAUCAGCAACGCUGCGGUGAAUACGUUCCCGGGCCUUGUACACACCGCCCGUCAAGUCACGAAAGUUGGUAACACCCGAAGCCGGUGGCCUAACCCUUGUGGGGGGAGCCGUCGAAGGUGGACCAGCGG
This 978-nucleotide ribosomal RNA is filed under the name Micrococcus sp. AcE. RNAcentral describes it as "bacterial SSU rRNA". It matches the Rfam family "Bacterial small subunit ribosomal RNA", at positions 508 to 1474 of the family's 1533-position model. The record is from RNAcentral. Lineage: Bacteria; Bacillati; Actinomycetota; Actinomycetes; Micrococcales; Micrococcaceae.